This is a long non-coding RNA of Equus caballus (horse), 3121 nucleotides long. The record is from Ensembl. NCBI's taxonomy places the organism in Eukaryota, Metazoa, Chordata, Mammalia, Perissodactyla, Equidae.
CUUCCAUAUGCCACUUUCUUGUGCAAUGGAUUAAACAAAAGUUUUUAAAAUGAGUAAUAAUUACCACUGUUUACUGAGCGCCUCCUGAGUGUCUAGCAGCUUCACAUAUUCUCCCUCGCUUGAUCUUCCCAAAAGUCCUGGGUGCACCCCCUUUUACAGAUGAGAAAACUGAGGCUCAGAAAUGCCAAUGAAAUUCUCAAGCUCACACAACUAGUAAAUGCUGCCACUAAUACUGGAUCUGGGUCUUCUAAAUCCAAGGUUUAGAAGAUUUAGAAGAUCCUAGAAAGUGUUCUAGAAGGCCCACAAGAGCAAGCUCGUGAGAAGGGAAUAGAAUGGCACUUACAGACCGUCCAGUUCUUUCUCCGCCCACUUUAGUUCCACUCCUGAAACCGAAAGAAUUGGUUUCUUGUUGCUCCAGUGUGCAGAGCUGACACGAGCAGUUGGGGGCUGUGAGGAGAUGCCUGCACUCAUUGGGCCAAAGAAGGUGCAGUUUGGAAUGGACCUUUCAGCCCAGUCAAUCUAGCGCUGAUGUUUUAUAGAUGAUAAACUGAAGCCCGGAGAGUUUACGAAGGUCAUCCAAGGUCACCCGUUUAAUCAGUGAGUAGCAGAGCCAGGCUUGCCGCUACCAAAUCCUGAGCUUUUCACCUAUAAAAGAGGCAGCAGCCCAUAUGCCCCAGGCCGUGGCUGUGAGGACUAAAGGAGAUCAUGUCUUCGAAGUGCUCAGCCCGCUCAGGGCCCGGCCGAGAGCCGCUGCUGGCCCUCACCCACUCUGAACCUCGUGUCUUUGUGAAUGCGGUCGGCAAGGUCCUCAACUCAGGCAUUUGUUAAGAAAAUCCAGCGAGCUCUUGGAGGUGGCAAAGCUUUGCUUGCUUCACAAACACUCAGGAACUGCCUUUUAGAUGUCCCUGCAUGAUUCCCAGGUGGGCGACAUCAGAGUAAAGUCGACAGCAUCUGCCCCUGGCCUCUUAAAAUUAUGAAUGAUUAUGAAACAGGAAAAAGGAAAAACACGGGAAAAAUGUAAAAACUUACAUCUGCAUAUAAGUUUUACUUACUCUGUCUUCCUGUCUUCUAACAUCGCCUAGACUUCACUGAAGCAGCCCCCACACCCCUUUCUGGCAAGGAAGGCCAUCAGUUGGAAGGUAACAGAGGAUUGGCACUGGCUGAACUAGGCUUGAGUACAAGUCAGGUGCUGCCAGGUAAAAGGCUCAUAAUUUUGGGGGGAGCUGUGUGCAUGUGUGUCAUGAGCUGAGAGUACUGUGGGUUCCACCCAACAUGCCACGGGCCGGGACCGCACGAGGCGCUGAAGGCCAGCAGGGCCCAGGGCCCUUCUGUUCUUGGUUCAGCAGCGUCUCACCUCCUCUUCCCUCUACACCUGCCUUCAGGCCCCUUCUCAGGAGGAAGACAACCCUUGCCUUUGUGUCUUUUACUUUGCUUCUUCUAGACUCCGAAUAUUCAAGCUGCUUGUCGAAGGCUGCACCGUCAGGCGUGAGUGGGAGGUGAGGAAGUAGAGAUAGGUUGUGUAGACAAAUACUGCAAGGCGUUUGGCUGUGAAAAGAUGGCAAGAGAAAGAACAACACUAAGAGAGAGUUGGAAUUAAAGCAGUGUUUUUACGGAGUGGUGUUUAUUCUGAUGUGGAAGAGACUGGAGCCCAUUUGAAAGCUUUUGGGGCAGAGCGAGCAGAGAGGAAAAGGCUGGAAGGACCGGCUGGAACUGUAGCACAAGGCCCCCGAGAAAGCACGAGGAGUGAGGUCCAGCGCUCAGGGCCGCACCAGCCUCACCAGGAGGACGGCGCCUCUUCUGCCCCAGUAGGAAGGGAGGAGGGCAACAGGGAGCCACGCGUGCACCCAAUCUGCGCAGACACAGCAGCUCCCAGAGCUCAGCACAGGCUGUCUGUGACCUCGUGCCAGGCGCUGUCUUGGUGCUCCACAUCCAUGAAUGGCCGUCUUCACCUCAAUCUGCAAGUAAACCAGAGCUCUCUACUCGUCAGCAACAGAAACUGCUUCUGGCGAAUACAUACCAGAAAGGAAUGCAAAAUUUCAAAAGGAAAGCUGGGAACCCAGCCCAGAAAGACAGGCAGAGAAGCGAGCUGCUCCAGGGCUUUGCAGGAAUUGCCCGUGGGCUCAGGAAUUGCCCGUGGGCUCGUCCAGGAGCCCCUGUGACAACCGGUGAGCUCAGACCACUCAGCCACAAGUCAGGAAGGGAAGGUCGGGGCAGCCCAGCGGAGGCUGUGAUCCUGCCAUGGCUGGAGGAUAGUUGGGCCAGACUGCACCCACAUCACCUUGAUCAUUCACCCAAGUGAAUUUUACUCCUGGUCCCAAAGGAGAUGGAAUGGAUGUUGGACAAAAAGAAAUAGAUGCCUGCCACGUUUGGUAACAGUUUCUCCCCGUCAAAUUUUUUUUAGGUAUCAUUUACAUACAAGCAAUAAUGUUUCAAAUUGACCCCUGCUCCGUGGCUGAACAGCUCUGAUUGUUAGAAAAUCCUUCCAUAAGUGUUGAUUCCACUUCUGUCGCCCUGAAUCAAAAGAGGGGUCGGAGGACGGUGGAACUGGGAAACGUGUCGUCUGAGGAUCAGUUAAGGAAGCUGGUGGAAGGGCAGCUUGGAGGUGAGAAGGAGACUUCAGUGAAACGAGCUGUCGUCACUGUGCUUCCACGGAGCUGCCUGCCAUGUAGUGAAGAAUGAGAGCUGUCCUCUCCCUGGGGACCACAUCUAGAAUGAAUGGGUGGAAGCUCAAAGGAGGCAAAUGUCAUCUCAACAAAUGGGAGAAGUUUUAAGAAUUAGAACUGCCCCGCUCUGGAGAGCAGGAAGCCCCGUAUGUCAAGGGAUAGGCCAGUAGGAAUUCCAGCACGAAGCGGGGUUGGGUUACAUGAUUUCUAAAGCAUUCUUUGAACUCUGAGAGUCUGUGGUCCUAUGAUCCUUAGUUAUUUGCAAAUCUAAGAGUCCUGCUGAAAGGGGCUCCUCGCCUUUCACAGAGACUCAAUUGCAUCCCUGCCUCAGGCUCAGCUUCUUUUCACGUGGUUUUCUUGAAAGCCUGUGUUUGUGGGAGAACGCCUCACACAGUGCUCACUGCAGGAGAAUGCUGAGAUUUCCUCAACCAAGCGCAGCAAGCAGGAGAGGGGAGGAC